GGGCUCAUAGUAAAAUGGCAUUACGCGGCAUUCGCAUUGCCGAAUUCCGGGUUCGACUCCCGGUGAGUCCA
Molecule: transfer RNA, 71 nt
Filed under: bacterium (Candidatus Gribaldobacteria) CG_4_9_14_3_um_filter_33_9
Lineage: Bacteria; Candidatus Gribaldobacteria
Also listed under: 2 other names
Description: tRNA-Ala
Rfam family: tRNA
About the family: Transfer RNA (tRNA) molecules are approximately 80 nucleotides in length. Their secondary structure includes four short double-helical elements and three loops (D, anti-codon, and T loops). Further hydrogen bonds mediate the characteristic L-shaped molecular structure. tRNAs have two regions of fundamental functional importance: the anti-codon, which is responsible for specific mRNA codon recognition, and the 3' end, to which the tRNAs corresponding amino acid is attached (by aminoacyl-tRNA synthetases). tRNAs cope with the degeneracy of the genetic code in two manners: having more than one tRNA (with a specific anti-codon) for a particular amino acid; and 'wobble' base-pairing, i.e. permitting non-standard base-pairing at the 3rd anti-codon position.
Source: RNAcentral